RNAcentral lists this ribosomal RNA (253 nucleotides) under uncultured bacterium. RNAcentral's name for it is "partial 16S ribosomal RNA". It matches the Rfam family "Bacterial small subunit ribosomal RNA", at positions 524 to 776 of the family's 1533-position model. The record is from RNAcentral.
GACAGAGGGUGCAAACGUUGUUCGGAAUUACUGGGCGUAAAGCGCGUGUAGGCGGCAAGGCAAGUCGGAUGUGAAAGCCCACGGCUCAACCGUGGAAGUGCACCCGAAACUGCCUAGCUAGAGUCUCGGAGAGGAAGGUGGAAUGCUUGGUGUAGAGGUGAAAUUCGUAGAUAUCGGGAGGAACACCGGUGGCGAAGGCGGCGACCUGGGUAGAUACUGACGCUGAGGUGCGAAAGCGUGGGGAGCAAACAGG